CGCGCAUCCACCAUCGUCGUUACCAGCGAUACCAUCACCGACCACCAUCGCCAAUGCCGAAUUGAAAUUUAGAUAACCGCAUUUGCGCUGGCGCCGAUUCGCUUGUUAACGGACUGUUCGGCUGUCUUUACGAGACUCGCCGAGCGAAAGAAAGCGGUCGUCGGUUCUUUUUCACGUCCGCCAACAAAGUCUCGUAUCGAUGGAAAUGCAGACUGCGUGCAGCGUACUUGGAUACACGAUACGUCACAUGGGAACAUCCGCGUGGAAUACACAGA
RNAcentral lists this unclassified non-coding RNA (275 nucleotides) under Bombus terrestris (buff-tailed bumblebee). RNAcentral's name for it is "misc RNA ENSBTSG00005020548.1". Lineage: Eukaryota; Metazoa; Arthropoda; Insecta; Hymenoptera; Apidae. The record is from RNAcentral.